Molecule: long non-coding RNA, 501 nt
Organism: Talpa occidentalis (Iberian mole)
Lineage: Eukaryota; Metazoa; Chordata; Mammalia; Eulipotyphla; Talpidae
Exons: 3
Source: RefSeq, a predicted model, not a curated record
CCUCCUAGGAGAUGCAGGGGGCAGGACUCAGGUGAAUUCCCAGGACAAGUGACCUGCAGGUAGUGGGGUGAGUGGAGAGGAGGAAAUCAUUCUGGUUAUUUCAGGUGAACAGUGGGAGGAGGACCAUGAUAUGGAAACAGGUCCUCCAGUCCUCCCCUCCUGGCAGGAAAACUAUGACCUCACAGCCACCAGCCCUGAAAGUCCACUCAACUUGACCCAUGAAGCUGGGACAAAUAAAGAGGACUUUUCAAAAAACAUCAAUGCCAUGAAAAACAAACAAAAAGCAGGACACAGUAUCAAAUUAAAGAUUAAAGGGGCAUGACAAGCAAAUGUGAUGUGUGAAUCUUGAUUGGAAAAAUAAACUAAAAUGACAUUUUGGGGGAUAAUUGGGAAAAUGUUAAAAUGAAGUAUGUAUAUCAGAUGAUAAUAAUACGUUGAUAUUAAAUAUCUUGAGUGUGGUAACUAUAUUGUGGUCAUUUAAGAGAAGGUCUUAGGCGGUGG